UGGGGAAUAUUGCACAAUGGACGGAAGUCUGAUGCAGCAACGCCGCGUGCGGGAUGACGGCCUUCGGGUUGUAAACCGCUUUUUCUCAUGACGAAGUUUUUUGACGGUAGUGGGGGAAGAAGCACCGGCUAACUACGUGCCAGCAGCCGCGGUGCUACGUAGGGUGCGAGCGUUGUCCGGAAUUAUUGGGCGUAAAGAGCUUGUAGGCGGUUUGUCGCGUCGAUAGUGCAAACUCAGUGCUUAACGCUGAGCCUGCUGUUGAUACGGGCAGACUAGAGGAAGGUAGGGGAGAAUGGAAUUCCCGGUGGAGCGGUGGAAUGCGCCGAUAUCGGGAGGAACACCGGUGGCGAAGGCGGUUCUCUGGGCCUUUCCUGACGCUGAGAAGCGAAAGCGUGGGGAGCGAACAGG
RNAcentral lists this ribosomal RNA (408 nucleotides) under Fusobacteriota bacterium. RNAcentral describes it as "Fusobacteria bacterium partial 16S ribosomal RNA". It matches the Rfam family "Bacterial small subunit ribosomal RNA", at positions 355 to 776 of the family's 1533-position model. Lineage: Bacteria; Fusobacteriati; Fusobacteriota. The record is from RNAcentral.